AUGACGCUCUUAAGUUGGAACUGUCGGGGACUAGGGCAGACCCGCACAGUUCGUGAGCUAGUGUGCCUUGUGCGCACAUACAAGCCCAAGCUAGUAUUUCUAUCAGAGACACGGCAAAGCAGUGAGUAUGUCAAUAAGCUGAGAUGGAGGCUUGGCCUCAAGCAUUGUAUUGUGCAACCUCGCGUGGGCAAAAGCGCCGGCAUAGCACUAUUCUAUGAUGAAAGUAUCGAAUGGAGGGGUACCUUUGUGUAUGGGGAACCAAAAGGACAUGAGAGACGCCAUAUGUGGGAGCUCUUGAGGAGAAUAAGA
Molecule: ribosomal RNA, 309 nt
Filed under: Triticum aestivum (bread wheat)
Lineage: Eukaryota; Viridiplantae; Streptophyta; Magnoliopsida; Poales; Poaceae
Description: partial small subunit ribosomal RNA
Source: RNAcentral